CAGCAGCCGCGGGAAUACGAAGGGGGCUAGCGUUGCUCGGAAUUACUGGGCGUAAAGGGAGCGUAGGCGGACAUUUAAGUCAGGGGUGAAAUCCCGGGGCUCAACCCCGGAAUUGCCUUUGAUACUGGGUGUCUUGAGUAUGAGAGAGGUAUGUGGAACUCCGAGUGUAGAGGUGAAAUUCGUAGAUAUUCGGAAGAACACCAGUGGCGAAGGCGACAUACUGGCUCAUUACUGACGCUGAGGCUCGAAAGCGCGGGGAGCAAACAGGAUUAGAUACCCCUGUAGUCCCUGUCUCUUAUAC
Molecule: ribosomal RNA, 301 nt
Filed under: uncultured bacterium
Lineage: Bacteria
Description: partial 16S ribosomal RNA
Rfam family: Bacterial small subunit ribosomal RNA
Source: RNAcentral